CCUACGGGAGGCAGCAGUGAGGAAUAUUGGUCAAUGGGCGCGAGCCUGAACCAGCCAAGUAGCGUGAAGGAUGACUGCCCUACGGGUUGUAAACUUCUUUUAUAAAGGAAUAAAGUGAGGCACGUGUGCCUUUUUGUAUGUACUUUAUGAAUAAGGAUCGGCUAACGCCGUUCCAGCAGCCGCGGUAAUACGGAGGAGACUAGCGUUAUCCGGAUUUAUUGGGUUUAAAGGGAGCGUAGAUGGGGUGUUAAGUCAGUUGUGAACGUUUGCGGCUCAACCGUAAAAUUGCAUUUGAUACUGUCAGUCUUGAGUACAGUUGAGGUAGGCGGAAUUCGUGGUGUAGCGGUGAAAUGCUUAGAUAUCACGAAGAACUCCGAUUGCGAAGGCAGCUUACUAAACUGCCACUGACAUUGAGGCUCGAAAGUGUGGGUAGCAAACAGGAUUAGAUACCCCUGUAGUC
Molecule: ribosomal RNA, 460 nt
Filed under: uncultured bacterium
Lineage: Bacteria
Description: partial 16S ribosomal RNA
Rfam family: Bacterial small subunit ribosomal RNA
Source: RNAcentral